This 543-nucleotide ribosomal RNA is filed under the name Amedibacillus dolichus DSM 3991. RNAcentral describes it as "SSU rRNA". It matches the Rfam family "Bacterial small subunit ribosomal RNA", at positions 26 to 547 of the family's 1533-position model. Lineage: Bacteria; Bacillati; Bacillota; Erysipelotrichia; Erysipelotrichales; Erysipelotrichaceae. The record is from RNAcentral.
AGGAUGAACGCUGGCGGCAUGCCUAAUACAUGCAAGUCGAACGAAGUUUUUAGGAAAGCUUGCUUUCCAAAAAGACUUAGUGGCGAACGGGUGAGUAACACGUAGAUAACCUGCCCAUGUGCCCGGGAUAACUGCUGGAAACGGUAGCUAAAACCGGAUAGGUGGCUUCGAGGCAUCUCGGAGACAUUAAAAUGGCUAAGGCCAUGAACAUGGAUGGAUCUGCGGCGCAUUAGCUAGUUGGUGAGGUAACGGCCCACCAAGGCGACGAUGCGUAGCCGACCUGAGAGGGUGAACGGCCACAUUGGGACUGAGACACGGCCCAAACUCCUACGGGAGGCAGCAGUAGGGAAUUUUCGUCAAUGGGGGGAACCCUGAACGAGCAAUGCCGCGUGAGUGAAGAAGGUCUUCGGAUCGUAAAGCUCUGUUGUAAGAGAAAAACGGAUCAUGUAGGGAAUGACAUGAUAGUGAUGGUAUCUUACCAGAAAGCCACGGCUAACUACGUGCCAGCAGCCGCGGUAAUACGUAGGUGGCAAGCGUUAUCCG